This 957-nucleotide ribosomal RNA is filed under the name uncultured fungus. RNAcentral's name for it is "eukaryotic LSU rRNA". The stretch from base 284 to 957 matches the Rfam family "Eukaryotic large subunit ribosomal RNA", at positions 1 to 664 of the family's 3401-position model. Lineage: Eukaryota; Fungi. The record is from RNAcentral.
AUCGAUGAAGAACGCAGCGAAAUGCGAUAAGUAAUGUGAAUUGCAGAAUUCAGUGAAUCAUCGAAUCUUUGAACGCACCUUGCACCUUUUGGUAUUCCGAAAGGUAUGCCUGUUUGAGUGUCAUGAAAUAUCAACCAUUAGGGUUUCCUAAUCGGCUUGGACUUGGGCAUUGCCAUCUGGCUUGCCUUAAAUGCGUUAGUGGAUGACCCAUUAGCUUGACGUAAUAAGUUUCGUCAGUCGAGUGGUCAGCAUUUGCUUACAACAACCAAUAUUUCUUAAUCUCUGACCUCAAAUCAGGUAGGACUACCCGCUGAACUUAAGCAUAUCAAUAAGCGGAGGAAAAGAAACUAACAAGGAUUCCCCUAGUAACGGCGAGCGAACCGGGAAGAGCUCAAAUUUGUAAUCUGGCGUCCUCCGGGCGUCCGAGUUGUAAUCUAUAGAAACGUUUUCCGCGCCGGACUGUGUCCAAGUCCCUUGGAAUAGGGUAUCAAAGAGGGUGACAAUCCCGUGCUUGACACAACCACCGGGGCUAUGUGAUACGUUUUCUACGAGUCGAGUUGUUUGGGAAUGCAGCUCAAAAUGGGUGGUAAAUUCCAUCUAAAGCUAAAUAUUGGCGAGAGACCGAUAGCGAACAAGUACCGUGAGGGAAAGAUGAAAAGCACUUUGGAAAGAGAGUUAAACAGUACGUGAAAUUGUUAAAAGGGAAACGAUUGAAGUCAGUCGUGUCUAUUGGGUUCAGCCGGGUCUCCCGGUGUAUUCCCUUUAGAUGGGUCAACAUCAGUUUGGACCGACGGAUAAUGGCUGGAGGAAGGUAGCACCCUCGGGUGUGUUAUAGCCUCCUGUCGCAUACGCCGGUCUGGACUGAGGAAUGCAGCUCGCCUUUAUGGCAGGGGUUCGCCCACUUACGAGCUUAGGAUGUUGACAUAAUGGCUUUAAACGACCCGUCUUGAAACACGG